GAAAAACCUGAGUGCAAAAUUGCAGGAUUGGGAUGCAGCAGCAUAUUGACCCAGGGACUCUGCAUAGCGUGUCAGAAGAAAUAUACCACAAUGGCUUGGAAGAACAAGGGGAUGAGUGGCAGGAUUCCCAGAGGCUGAAGUCAUCUACCAAGCUGCUCAUGAUUCUGCUGAAAUCCUCUCUCAAUUUAAGUUUAAAUAAGGAUGCAAGAGAGAAAACACAUUCUUCUCUGAGACUGGAGGGCCAGGACUGAAGUCCAGGAUCAAUGCCAAAAAGCACUGCUAAACCAAGAGAAAAGCAUACUGCUUUGUUUGACCAAGAGGAGAAGCCCAGAGAGCACAGACAGGAUGUGUACCAGUGGAAAAAGUGAACAGGACAUGUAUUUCACUGACAGUCCCUUUGAAAGAUUCUGACCAUUCUAUGAUUUCUUAAAGUCAGCUUUUGAAGUUACUACUGCAAUUGUCUCAACAGCUACUGUUUUUGGUUUAAACUGAAAACUAGAAUCCCUGGUUGUAAUGUAUUUGUAUUAAGUUUGUGAGUUCUUCUGAGGCAGAGAACUUGUUUUCUAUCUUAGGGGUUCUUAAACAUCCAUAGAGCGGGUCACACUUUAAUAGUUUGUCUCACGGUCCAUGUCUUCUCUAGUCAUGUCUGCAUAGGCCACCUUCCUUCACACUAGUAAUCAUAUAACAUCCCUCUGGCAACCACAGCAAUUCCUUCCCUUGAACAGGAAUAUUAAGCGAGUAAUAUUUGGAGCUGUUUUUAUUGAGAGUCACCAGCUGGAAAUGGAGAGCCAGCAUUGACCAGUCAGCUCCCCCUGGAUCACCAGCAAGCCAUCUACUUUGUGUACUUAAUAAUGAAAAAAGAUUACAGAGCACUAUAAUGGGAACCAGACUCAGUAUUAGCUAUGCUAUACAAAGCCAUUAAGCUAUAUUGUUAGCACAACAUAAAGCUCAAACAAUGUAUUAACGAUGCUCAAAUCAAGUAGAAAACACAUCUGCAAA
This is a long non-coding RNA of Chelonoidis abingdonii (Abingdon island giant tortoise), 999 nucleotides long. RefSeq lists it as uncharacterized. The record is from RefSeq and is a predicted model, not a curated record. Lineage: Eukaryota; Metazoa; Chordata; Testudines; Testudinidae.